AAGUCGUAACAAGGUUUCCGUAGGUGAACCUGCGGAAGGAUCAUUACCAAGGGAACUCUCAUCACUGGGACCACUCUCUAACUGCCUUUGUGUGAACCGUUUCUGGGACUUGGUGUGGGGACUCAAGGUGUGCCGUAACUGGCACAUUUGAUCGCCGCGCUGCUUUUGUACCUACUGCUCUAUACGCUUGACUGAAUGCCUAUUGUGAACUUGUAAAAACUUUUAGCAAUGGAUCUCUAGGCUCUU
This 246-nucleotide unclassified non-coding RNA is filed under the name fungal sp. RNAcentral's name for it is "partial internal transcribed spacer region". The stretch from base 1 to 46 matches the Rfam family "Eukaryotic small subunit ribosomal RNA", at positions 1786 to 1831 of the family's 1831-position model. The record is from RNAcentral. Lineage: Eukaryota; Fungi.